CGGGCUGCACUCCCCUCGCUGCUGGCAGGGCAGGGACUACGAGGAUCUGCUGGAGUCCGGCUCCGAGCUCCGAAGGGCCAGCGGGUCCCCCGCCCACAACCUCCCGCCCUCUCUCUGGUACAGGCUCCUGUCCCCUGGAUUCCCAACAGGAUCAUGUGCUCGCAAGUCCCAGCUCUGAGUACCCUGAGUUCUGUACCCACGAGGUGGUUGGAAGGAUUAAAAGUGGCCAACCAUGGUUUCCAAAAACUGCAGUCUUGACUCUUCCCGGCUGGUGGACUUGGAGGAAAGAUGGCUCUAGGUUACCAAGCUUCUUCUGGCUCCUUCCUCCUGACAACCUUGGCCUUACUGCCUCCUGGUCACAAGAUGGCAGCCAAGCUCCAGGCAUCUGGACUAAGGAAGUGGUGGGAUGCAAAGCAGGAAAACUUUUCCAGAAGCACCCAGCUUGAUCUCCCUUCUGUUUUAGCACAUGCCCACCCCAGAUUGGGGCCUUCGGUCUCUCCCUGAGAUCAAGGGAGUGCACCUGAUGUCUGUCAGGCAUGCCUACACCAGGGAAACCUAUGCCUCCUUCCACAGCCACACAUACAAGUGAAGUGGCCAAAGCCUGCAGGGCAGAGGUAGGUCCACCACAUGGAGUUGGGACAUGCUCACUUGGCAUCCCCUUCCAAGCCACACAGCUUUGUGUCAGUUCAGCUGAGACAUUCAGGUCUACAAAGAAAGGUGCCAGAGGUUGCCAUCCCAUCAAUCCCACUGACAUCACCCCGUUCCUGCCUUGGGUGACUGGACGAUGGCGUCUCCAUUCUGCCCUUGUCCAAUAGGGACCAUGUCAGUGCUUACUCUAGGGCCAUGGUCCCAAGCUAGGGUAGCUGUGCUUCCCUCUCUGGACUUGAGCUUUGUUGUUUUUAUUUUUUUUUAAUAUUCUAUUUUAUAUAAUUCUUACAUCAUUUUUUCACAAUGUAUGCAUUAUCAUUUUGGUUAUAUUCCCUGUACAAUUGCACCCCAUCACCUCUUAUUUUGACCCUAGUCCUUCCCCCCCACCCCUGCCCCCCGUGGUUUGUCUCUGGUUUAUAGUUGCUUGUUGGCUUUGUUAUUUUUAAAACAGUUCCAGCCCUAUAGGGUUGUUGUGAGGAGCAGUAAGGGUCUGUCAGUGACCCUCUGUGGUGUGUGGCUCACUCUUUGUAGGGCUAAAACACCUUCUUCAUGAACUGUCUCAAGCCAGACUCUGCUAGUGGCUUCUGAACUUUUGUCAUGACCACAGUGAUACAUUUAUCACCUUCUACACACCAUGUCUGUCUAAAACAUAAGUACCAUGAAAUAAUACUCAAAACUUGUAAAGCAGAAUUGGUUGACUAGGUUCAUUUUAUUAAAUGCCAGGCAUGACCUACUAGGUUGAUUUUUACAGUCCACCAUGGAUUCUGACCCUCAAUUUGGGGAACUCAGCUUCAGACUGUCCUUUCUUCCUUUUUCUAAACUGACCUGGAGUAUCAGUUUCCUGCUGCUACUGCAGCUUACCACAAACUUAGUGGCUUAAAGCAACACAAGUGCUCUUAUUCUCUUACGGUUCUGGAGGGCAGCAGUCUGCAGUCUCAGCGGGCUUCCUUGGA
This is a long non-coding RNA of Talpa occidentalis (Iberian mole), 1601 nucleotides long. RefSeq lists it as uncharacterized. The transcript has 3 exons. The record is from RefSeq and is a predicted model, not a curated record. NCBI's taxonomy places the organism in Eukaryota, Metazoa, Chordata, Mammalia, Eulipotyphla, Talpidae.